Molecule: ribosomal RNA, 493 nt
Filed under: uncultured bacterium
Lineage: Bacteria
Description: bacterial SSU rRNA
Rfam family: Bacterial small subunit ribosomal RNA
Source: RNAcentral
GCCCUUAGAGUUUGAUCCUGGCUCAGGAUGAACGCUAGCUACAGGCUUAACACAUGCAAGUCGAGGGGCAGCAUGGUCUUAGCUUGCUAAGGCCGAUGGCGACCGGCGCACGGGUGAGUAACGCGUAUCCAACCUGCCUUACACUCUUGGACAGCCUUCUGAAAGGGAGAUUAAUACAAGAUGUUAUCAUGGGUAAGCAUUUUCGCAUGAUUAAAGGUUUACCGGUGUAAGAUGGGGAUGCGUUCCAUUAGAUAGUAGGCGGGGUAACGGCCCACCUAGUCUUCGAUGGAUAGGGGUUCUGAGAGGAAGGUCCCCCACAUUGGAACUGAGACACGGUCCAAACUCCUACGGGAGGCAGCAGUGAGGAAUAUUGGUCAAUGGACGAGAGUCUGAACCAGCCCAGUAGCGUGAAGGAUGAAGGUUCUAUGGAUUGUAAACUUCUUUUAUACGGGAAUAAACGAAUCCACGCGUGGAUUGAGCAGUACCGAGAUAA